GUGCUUGCUUCGGCAGCACAUAUACUAAAAUUGAAACAAUACAGAGAAGAUUAGCAUGGCCCCUGUGCAAGGAUGACAUGCAAAUUCAUGAAGCGUUCCAUAUAAAA
This 107-nucleotide small nuclear RNA is filed under the name Prolemur simus (greater bamboo lemur). The record is from RNAcentral. Lineage: Eukaryota; Metazoa; Chordata; Mammalia; Primates; Lemuridae.